Molecule: ribosomal RNA, 393 nt
Filed under: uncultured bacterium
Lineage: Bacteria
Description: bacterial SSU rRNA
Rfam family: Bacterial small subunit ribosomal RNA
Source: RNAcentral
AAUCAACGCUGGCGGCGUGCCUAACACAUGCAAGUCGAACGCGAAAGUCCCGCAAGGGGCAAGUAGAGUGGCAAACGGGUGAGUAACACGUGGGUGACCUGCCUUCGAGUGGGGGAUAACGUCCCGAAAGGGACGCUAAUACCGCAUAACAUCCUGCCUUUUAAGAGGUGGACAUCAAAGCCGGGGAUCGCAAGACCUGGCGCUUGAAGAGGGGCCCGCGCCUGAUUAGCUAGUUGGUGGGGAAUGGCUCACCAAGGCAACGAUCAGUAUCCGGCCUGAGAGGGCGGACGGACACACUGGGACUGAGACACGGCCCGGACUCCUACGGGAGGCAGCAGUGGGGAAUUGUUCGCAAUGGGCGCAAGCCUGACGACGCAACGCCGCGUGGAGGAU